UACGUAGGGUGCAAGCGUUGUCCGGAAUUAUUGGGCGUAAAGAGCGUGUAGGCGGCCAGACAGGUCCGUUGUGAAAACUCGAGGCUCAACCUCGAGAUGUCGAUGGAAACCGUCUGGCUAGAGUCCGGAAGAGGAGUGUGGAAUUCCUGGUGUAGCGGUGAAAUGCGCAGAUAUCAGGAGGAACACCAAUGGCGAAGGCAGCUCGCUGGGACGUGACUGACGCUGAGACGCGAAAGCGUGGGGAGCAAACAGG
RNAcentral lists this ribosomal RNA (253 nucleotides) under uncultured bacterium. RNAcentral describes it as "partial 16S ribosomal RNA". It matches the Rfam family "Bacterial small subunit ribosomal RNA", at positions 524 to 776 of the family's 1533-position model. The record is from RNAcentral.